UACGGAGGAUGCGAGCGUUAUCCGGAUUUAUUGGGUUUAAAGGGAGCGUAGGCCGGUCUUUAAGCGUGCCGUGAAAUUUUGUGGCUCAACCAUGAGAGUGCGGCGCGAACUGGAGACCUUGAGUGCGCGGAAGGCAGGCGGAAUUCGUGGUGUAGCGGUGAAAUGCUUAGAUAUUAGGAAGAACACCAGUGGCGAAGGCGGAUGACUGGACGACAACUGACGGUGAGGCGCGAAAGCGUGGGGAGCAAACAGG
RNAcentral lists this ribosomal RNA (253 nucleotides) under uncultured bacterium. Its description in RNAcentral is "partial 16S ribosomal RNA". It matches the Rfam family "Bacterial small subunit ribosomal RNA", at positions 524 to 776 of the family's 1533-position model. The record is from RNAcentral.